UUAUUCACAUGUAUCAAUUCUUGCAGGG
RNAcentral lists this non-coding RNA (28 nucleotides) under Mus musculus (house mouse). The record is from RNAcentral. Lineage: Eukaryota; Metazoa; Chordata; Mammalia; Rodentia; Muridae.